RNAcentral lists this long non-coding RNA (245 nucleotides) under Elaeis guineensis (African oil palm). RNAcentral's name for it is "long non-coding RNA (EGUI_LNC008001)". The record is from RNAcentral. Lineage: Eukaryota; Viridiplantae; Streptophyta; Magnoliopsida; Arecales; Arecaceae.
GAGGAGGAGAGAGAAAAUUAGGAAGAAAAUAGCUUUGUAUUUAGUUUGGUCUAAUCAGGAACACAAUACAAUGUAUAUAUAUAUAAGGUCAAUAUGACCCAACCCAAAAACCUCCUGACUAACUCAAUACAUUAAAACACACAUCCAAACCCCAUGUACACCCAUGGUCUUAUAUGUUCUCAUAUCUUGGACUCAACCUAGUCUAAAAAAUAAGUUAGCCUCUUGAGGCCCAAGUUUCCUGAACC